UACGAAGGGGGCUAGCGUUGUUCGGAAUUACUGGGCGUAAAGCGCGCGUAGGCGGUGAUCUUUGUCAGAGGUGAAAGCCCGGGGCUCAACUCCGGAAUUGCCUUUGAAACGGGAUUGCUAGAGUCCGAGAGAGGAUGGCGGAAUUCCUAGUGUAGAGGUGAAAUUCGUAGAUAUUAGGAAGAACACCGGUGGCGAAGGCGGCCAUCUGGCUCGGUACCGACGCUCAGGC
RNAcentral lists this ribosomal RNA (229 nucleotides) under uncultured bacterium. RNAcentral's name for it is "partial 16S ribosomal RNA". It matches the Rfam family "Bacterial small subunit ribosomal RNA", at positions 524 to 752 of the family's 1533-position model. The record is from RNAcentral.